Long non-coding RNA from Aedes albopictus (Asian tiger mosquito), 823 nucleotides. RefSeq lists it as uncharacterized. NCBI's taxonomy places the organism in Eukaryota, Metazoa, Arthropoda, Insecta, Diptera, Culicidae. The transcript has 3 exons. The record is from RefSeq and is a predicted model, not a curated record.
UGCCGGAGUUGGCAAGUGAGGCAAGCUAACCUCCAAAUUCUCACCGCACCGCUAGCUUCCACCGGUGGGACGAGAGGACAGAUUCAAACAUACCAAGGGACGAUUGGUACGGCCGUCUGACCGGCAGACACGACGCCUGCUCGCACACCACGAGGUCGAGGGCACUGGCUGGCACCAUCUUGUCAAGCCCAGUACGAUUGGAGGAACAACAAGGCCUUCCGAAGGAGGGCCUUUAAUUACAGCUUUUUUCCUUCCCGGGAACAACAACGAGUGCCUACAAGGAACGGUGGUGGGAUCAGGAAGGCCGACGGAAAAAGAGCGGUGGCGAUUCCGGCAUUCGGAGCGCAGCGCCGGGAGAACCGCCUGACGACGCGACUGUCUCGUGCAAGCGAAGAAACCCACAGACACAGUGGUUCCCAAGCGUCGAGCUGCGUUGGUUCAUGCACCGGACAGGCCGGUUAGGAGAACACGGUUAGGCGCAAGUAGGAUAUCGUAGCGCGGGGUGGUUUGACCGAAUCCACUCCUGCGACCGGCUGAGGGCGUGACCAGAGCGAGAUGUUUGGUUGGCCGAUGACAUGUGCGUUGGCGAGGAUGCAACGGCAAGGGGGACGCCCCUCACAGAUAAGUUCUAGUUUUUAAGAAUGUAGAGCAUUAGAUCUUAAGCUUAACACCUAAGCCCAAAUGGGAAAUCCCAAAAUACAUGUAUUAAGCUGAGAUUUGCCGUUUUGUGAUUUCUAGUUGAGCUAUAGCCCCUCAGUGUUUGCGAUUUGAGUCCUUGUUCUAUUCGUUAGCGGUAAUUGCUCUGCCACUACCGGGACACUUG